Molecule: non-coding RNA, 994 nt
Organism: Heterocephalus glaber (naked mole-rat)
Lineage: Eukaryota; Metazoa; Chordata; Mammalia; Rodentia; Bathyergidae
Source: RefSeq, a predicted model, not a curated record
GGAAAGCAAGGGCAGAAAGGCUGGAGGACACAGGGCUGGGUGGAGGCGAUCCUGAUUCACUCUACUGUUUCGACAAAGGAAAGUCGCCCGGAGGGCUUGCAUCUGAAUCCCACAAACGCGCCAUGCUUUAUAUCAAAUUAAUCAAAAAGAUUAACUCGUCUUUGUUGACCCCACACCUGGGAAAUUGUGGUGGGAGCUGGCUUAUUGGAGCAGCGCUGUCCAUUUACAGACGGUUCACAGGCAAGGUAUACUGUGUAGCGCUAGAGAAAGGCUUUGGAGGUUGAAACUACUUUGGAAGACAGUGGCUGACCUUCCUGCACACAUGAUGGAUGACUGGGGCACCUGCAGAGAGGAAUUGAAGUUGAUUGGGAACCUUUUCUCAGAGCAUUGGAGCGGAUUCUCAACUACCUAGGAGGCUCCAGACAGCAGGUUACACACUACUGGCGGGAGUUACUUUCCAGUUUAUGAUUUACCUCUGCUUCUCUCUGACCUUGCAAGAUUCUAAGGGUACAGUGGCCUAAAGAACUGGGUAUCUGAGGUCUUCCAGGUGGCUUUACUAAAACUAGAGACUUUCAUCUCUCAAACAGGGAUGAGAAGCCACCAAAGAUUCCUGGGACUGAAAGGCUCAGUUCACUUUCUUUCUUUGGAAAUAGUUCGGGGUGGUUGAGGAAGCAGGAGAGCAGGAAGAAAGAGACUAGGGAAUGGGUGCUGGUGGGUCUGUACUAGGUUUAUGGAGACUGCGGGGACUUACACAGAAUAGCUUUUGGCUUUAUAGCAAUAUUCUUUUUUUUCUUUCUUUUUUUUUUUUGGUAUCAGAAAUUAAACUCGGGACCUUGCACUUGCAAGGCAAGUGGCGGCACCAAUGAGCUAAAUCCCCAGCAAUAUUCUUAUUAGCAUGAACCCUCUAAAAGUCAGUUUUAAGGAGUACUACUCAGCCAUAAAAAAUGAAAAACUAGAGACAUUUAUAGCUAAAUGGAUGCACAUUGAGGCGAUA